AACGAACGCUGGCGGCAGGCUUAACACAUGCAAGUCGAACGCCCCGCAAGGGGAGUGGCGCACGGGUGAGUAACGCGUGGGAACGUGCCCUUAGGUACGGAACAACGUCUGGAAACGGACGCUAAUACCGUAUAAUAUCUUCGGAUCAAAGAUUUAUCGCCUAAGGAUCGGCUCGCGUUGGAUUAGGUAGUUGGUGAGGUAAUGGCUCCCCAAGCCGACGAUCCAUAGCGGUUCUGAGAGGAUGAUCAGCCACACUGGGACUGAGACACGGCCCAGACUCCUACGGGAGGCAGCAGUGAGGAAUAUUGGACAAUGGAGGAAACUCUGAUCCAGCCAUGCCGCGUGAGUGAUGAAGGCCUUCGGGUUGUAAAGCUCUUUUACCCCUGACGAUAAUGACGGUAAGGGGAGAAAAAGCCACGGCUAACUUCGUGCCAGCAGCCGCGGUAA
Molecule: ribosomal RNA, 447 nt
Filed under: uncultured bacterium
Lineage: Bacteria
Description: partial 16S ribosomal RNA
Rfam family: Bacterial small subunit ribosomal RNA
Source: RNAcentral